This is a long non-coding RNA of Sapajus apella (tufted capuchin), 1568 nucleotides long. RefSeq lists it as uncharacterized. Lineage: Eukaryota; Metazoa; Chordata; Mammalia; Primates; Cebidae. The record is from RefSeq and is a predicted model, not a curated record. The transcript has 3 exons.
GAAGCGGAGCCGGCCCCGCCCCGCGAGCGGCCAUCUUGGAGGCUGAGGCGGCGGAGGCGCAGCGGCGGGUUCGGUGGGCCCAGUCCCGGCGCGGUGCGGCUGUUUCGGGCGCGGGCCCCGCUCUUCCGCACCCUGCUCCGGCCUCGACCACGGCGAGCCUGAGCGCGGCGGCGGCCCACGCGCGGCGACAGGGAGAGAUGAGCAGCACCAGCACUAAGAGGGCUCCAACCACAGCGACCCAGAGGCUGAAGCAGGACUACCUUCGCAUCAAGAAAGACCCAGUGCCUUACAUCUGCGCUGAGCCCCUCCCUUCGAAUAUUCUCGAGUGGCACUAUGUGGUCAGAGGCCCAGAGAUGACCCCUUAUGAAGGUAAGGAUUCUGUCCUCAGGUGGCAGGUUUUAUGUUCUGAAACGGCCUUGCCUGUUAAACAUCUUUUAUUUGCAAACAACAGCCUUUCUACCUUGGAUGGAUGUGCCUUAGUUACAUAGGCUUAGCUGGAACUCACCCCCAGCUGAUUCUCUGAGCCCUGGAAGUGUUUGCUGCGCGUGUUGUUGGCUGAUGUCUGUCAGUCUGCAGUGGAGGCUUGUAGUGUCAGUGUUCACCAGCCUCCAACACCAUAGGGUUAGAGCCGAGAAACCAGACCAGGGUAAACACUGAAGCUGGCCUGUUUGCUGUUUCUUAAGACCUGGUGAAUAUCAUCAAAAGGAAAGAAAGGCAUGUUAUUCAGUGUGUCUCUGUGCUGGGCACUCUCAGGGUCUUGUAAUCCUCAGAACAGUCUCUGAGCUAAGCGGAAGUCUCCCUGUGUGUUGUGGCUUCUGGGGCUUCGGGAGCUGUAGGACCUGCCCAGCACCUCAGUCCCUCGUGGGCUGCCAAGGCUGACCCAGGUCGAUAGCCGCUACCUAGAGUCCCGGGUGUUGUUACAGAGCAGACACUGGAGUGGUCAGCAAGUUUCUGGGGCCUUGAGGGGUACUGGCACCAGCCUCAGGGUCUGGGCCAGGUUAGGAGUCGGCGUGCCCAUGGACGCCGUCCACCGGCAAGUGCAAGGCAGAGCAGGGCCAGGUCGGCAGCUGCUUGGCUCUCUAGCCGCAGGGCCCUGGCUUCAGAGGGCUGGAGCAGCAGCUCUGUCUGCCUCUGUGGGGCUGUGGGUGAGAUUUCAUGAGAGAAGGGUGCUGCUGCUAGAGGUUUGCUAACCCCUGCUUUGGACUGUUGGGAGGGUGGUGGGUGGGUAAGAACGAAAAGGGUCAGGCUCUCCUGAAGGCGCUUUGGCUGAGUUAUCACAGCCUUACCCAAACAGUCUCCUUUGACCCAGGAGUCCUGGUUCCGGGAUAAUCUGUACCCAGCGUGCAGGAGCACAUCUAGGGUGGGCACGCAAUCACGGCGCCACUGACGAGGACCAGCACUGGGGACGCCGCAGGCCGAGGCGAGGUGCGGCCUGGGAGCAGGCGUGUUCAAGUGCUGCUGACAUAUGUCCGGGUGCCUUCAGCUGGUGUGAAGGACGUAACCACAGAACGAGCAGUGGUCUUUGACAAACAAAAUUACGCCAGCUCAAACAUGUUUUUUUGUUUUGU